Molecule: long non-coding RNA, 412 nt
Organism: Prosopis cineraria
Lineage: Eukaryota; Viridiplantae; Streptophyta; Magnoliopsida; Fabales; Fabaceae
Exons: 4
Source: RefSeq, a predicted model, not a curated record
AGCAGAUGAAAGGAAUGUACCCACAUCAUUGCAUGCGCCAGGGGAUAAACCAGUGGACAAUGGUAGUAGGUCAAGUAGUUCUAGCAGCUCAAGCAGUGAUUCCGGGUCCUCCUCAACUGAUUCUGAUACUGAAAGCUCCUCAGCAUCCGGAUCUGAUGCAGGAUCACAAGGAACCUGAUUAUAUUCUGUCAGUUUUCUGGUAUUUAGAGUUAGCUAAUGAUGAGAUGGUUGCCUAAUUUGAUGAUCUGAAGCCGAAGCUUCCAAUAUUAUGGCUCUAAAUUUUACAGCUGAUGUAUAGAGGAAGCAUUCUCAUGCCAACAGUGAUCCUACCAACGCAAUUCAGGAUUCUUGGUGUUAUGCAAAGAAAUUCUGUAAUUCCAAGUUCUUGGAGUAAUUAUUGGUUCACAUGAAA